Molecule: small nucleolar RNA, 94 nt
Filed under: Ustilaginoidea virens
Lineage: Eukaryota; Fungi; Ascomycota; Sordariomycetes; Hypocreales; Clavicipitaceae
Description: A. fumigatus snoRNA Afu_190
Rfam family: A. fumigatus snoRNA Afu_190
Source: Rfam by way of RNAcentral
ACAUGAUGAGACACCAGCUGGCACCAGUCAUAGAGUGACUUGUACUCCCUUCAUUGAUGACCAAACAUUGCUGUGGUCUACGACCAAUUCUGAU